Molecule: non-coding RNA, 282 nt
Organism: Procambarus clarkii (red swamp crayfish)
Lineage: Eukaryota; Metazoa; Arthropoda; Malacostraca; Decapoda; Cambaridae
Source: RefSeq, a predicted model, not a curated record
GCAUCUGACAUCAGCACUGCGAUUCCCACGUGGGAGGUGUUAGCUGACUGCCUCGUCGAGCUGUGAUAUCUCCAGAAGUAGCCUAGUGUGAGCCUUAGUAAAAAGCGCGGGAGAUGCGGCUGCCGAUAGCGAAGCUGGUGUUGGUGUUGGGGGUCGCCGGGGUCACCUGGGCCGGGAGCAAACCCUACAACUAUACUGUCCCUCGUUGUCCUGUAGACUGGUCUUCGAGUACUACUGAAAGACCUUCUCGACAAGUUACUAUUCCUUCAGGCUACUUACCCG